This 484-nucleotide ribosomal RNA is filed under the name uncultured bacterium. RNAcentral's name for it is "partial 16S ribosomal RNA". It matches the Rfam family "Bacterial small subunit ribosomal RNA", at positions 30 to 507 of the family's 1533-position model. The record is from RNAcentral.
AUUGAACGCUGGCGGCAGGCUUUACACAUGCCAGUCGAGCGGUAACAGGCCGCAAGCUGCUGGAGUGAGCGGAACGGGGGAGUGAUACAUCUAAAAGUGUGCAUGGUAGUGGGGGAAAUAGUCGGGAGAGGAGCUAAAAUCCCGUACGAGCUAUGAGGGAGAACGGGGGGGCGUUACGCACCUCACGCUUUCAGCGGAGGCUAGGUCGGAUUAGAUAGUUGGUGGGGUAAAGGCCUACCAAGGCCACGAUCUGUCACUGGUCUGAGAGGAUGAACAGUCACACUGGAACUGAGACACGGCCCAGACUCCUACGGGAGGCAGCAGUGGGGAAUUUUGGACAAUGGGCGAAAGCCUGAUCCAGCAAUGCCGCGUGUAUGAAGAAGGUCUUCGGAUUGUAAAGCGCUUUUGUAUGGAAGGAAACGCAUUUGGUUAAUACCUUGCGGUAAUGACGGUACCGUCAGAAUAAGCACCGGCUAACUACGUG